UUGGAGGGCAAGUCUGGUGCCAGCAGCCGCGGUAAUUCCAGCUCCAAUAGCGUAUAUUAAAGUUGUUGCAGUUAAAAAGCUCGUAGUUGAAUUUCGGGGUUAGUAGGUUGGUCAUGCCUCUGGUAUGUACUGGUCUCACUGAUUCCUCCUUCCUGGUGAACCUUAAUGCCAUUAAUUUGGUGUUUUGGGGAAUUUGGACUGUUACUUUGAAAAAAUUAGAGUGUUUAAAGCAAGCUAACGCUUGAAUACAUUAGCAUGGAAUAAUGAAAUAGGACGUUCGAUCCUAUUUUGUUGGUUUCUAGGAUUGACGUAAUGAUUAAUAGGGAUAGUUGGGGGCAUUAGUAUUCAAUUGUCAGAGGUGAAAUUCUUGGAUUUAUUGAAGACUAACUACUGCGAAAGCAUUUGCCAAGGAUGUUUUCAUUAAUCAAGAACGAAAGUUAGGGGAUCGAAGACGAUCAGAUACCGUCGUAGUCUUAACCAUAAACUAUGCCGACUAGGGAUCGGAUGAUGUUAAUUUUUUAAUGACUCAUUCGGCGCCUUACGGGAAAC
This 549-nucleotide ribosomal RNA is filed under the name uncultured Glomeromycotina. RNAcentral describes it as "SSU rRNA". It matches the Rfam family "Eukaryotic small subunit ribosomal RNA", at positions 548 to 1098 of the family's 1831-position model. Lineage: Eukaryota; Fungi; Glomeromycota. The record is from RNAcentral.